GACGAACGCUGGCGGCGUGCUUAACACAUGCAAGUCGAACGGAAAGGCCCUGCUUUUGUGGGGUGCUCGAGUGGCGAACGGGUGAGUAACACGUGAGUAACCUGCCCUUGACUUUGGGAUAACUUCAGGAAACUGGGGCUAAUACCGGAUAGGAGCUCCUGCUGCAUGGUGGGGGUUGGAAAGUUUCGGCGGUUGGGGAUGGACUCGCGGCUUAUCAGCUUGUUGGUGGGGUAGUGGCUUACCAAGGCUUUGACGGGUAGCCGGCCUGAGAGGGUGACCGGCCACAUUGGGACUGAGAUACGGACCAGACUCAUACGGGAGGCAGCAGUGGGGAAUAUUGCACAAUGGGCGGAAGCCUGAUGCAGCAACGCAGCGUGCGGGAUGACGGCAUUCGGGUUGUAAACCGCUUUCGCCUGUGACGAAGCGUGAGUGACGGUAAUGGGUAAAGAAGCACCGGCUAACUACGUG
Molecule: ribosomal RNA, 468 nt
Filed under: uncultured bacterium
Lineage: Bacteria
Description: partial 16S ribosomal RNA
Rfam family: Bacterial small subunit ribosomal RNA
Source: RNAcentral